This 432-nucleotide ribosomal RNA is filed under the name uncultured bacterium. RNAcentral describes it as "partial 16S ribosomal RNA". It matches the Rfam family "Bacterial small subunit ribosomal RNA", at positions 29 to 506 of the family's 1533-position model. The record is from RNAcentral.
AACGAACGCUGGCGGCAUGCCUAACACAUGCAAGUCGAACGAGACCUUCGGGUCUAGUGGCGCACGGGUGCGUAACGCGUGGGAACCUGCCCUUAGGUUCGGAAUAACUCCCCGACAGGGGUGCUAAUACCGGAUAAUGUCUUCGGACCAAAGAUUUAUCGCCUUUGGAUGGGCCCGCGUUGGAUUAGCUAGUUGGUAGGGUAAAAGCCUACCAAGGCGACGAUCCAUAGCUGGUCUGAGAGGAUGAUCAGCCACACUGGGACUGAGACACGGCCCAGACUCCUACGGGAGGCAGCAGUGGGGAAUAUUGGACAAUGGGCGAAAGCCUGAUCCAGCAAUGCCGCGUGAGUGAUGAAGGCCUUAGGGUGGUAAAGCUCUUUUACCCGGGAUGAUAAUGACAGUACCGGGAGAAUAAGCUUCGGCUAACUCCGU